Molecule: ribosomal RNA, 421 nt
Filed under: uncultured bacterium
Lineage: Bacteria
Description: bacterial SSU rRNA
Rfam family: Bacterial small subunit ribosomal RNA
Source: RNAcentral
GAUGAACGCUGGCGGCGUGCUUAACACAUGCAAGUCGAACGGGAUCGGCUGGAGCUUGCUCCGGCCGUGAGAGUGGCGAACGGGUGAGUAAUGCGUGACCGACCUGCCCCAUACACCGGAAUAGCUCCUGGAAACGGGUGGUAAUGCCGGAUGCUCCAGUUGACCGCAUGGUCCUCUGGGAAAGCUUUUGCGGUAUGGGAUGGGGUCGCGUCCUAUCAGCUUGAUGGCGGGGUAACGGCCCACCAUGGCUUCGACGGGUAGCCGGCCUGAGAGGGCGACCGGCCACAUUGGGACUGAGAUACGGCCCAGACUCCUACGGGAGGCAGCAGUGGGGAAUAUUGCACAAUGGGCGCAAGCCUGAUGCAGCGACGCCGCGUGCGGGAUGACGGCCUUCGGGUUGUAAACCGCUUUUGACUGGGAG